AACAUGGCAGAUCUAUGAGAGUAUUUUCCCCCACAUGCAAUUGUUUCCUGCUGUCAGGCUUUACCUCAGAGGGCAGCUGUCAUCCUCCUAAAUGUAUGAAGUUGUAUUAUGCAGCACAUUUUGAAAAUGGUGAUUUUCAACGGGCUUCUGAGAGAUCUUCAAAUAUUCUGGAAACAGUCUUUAUUAGAUAUGUGACCUGUGCAGUCAAAUGAAAAAUGGAACAUGUGCAUGACUAUGGAGGUGUUAAGAAAACUACAGCACAUCACAAUCACAUCCUGGAGGAAACUACUGGGGAAAUGGAAGCUGUUGAGUCUGCAUGAGGAAGUUCCCACAAAGUCACCAGUUGAUGGCCAAUUGGAUUGUUUCCAAGUUUCAGCUGUCACGAAAUGUGCUACUAUGAACAUGGGUGGACAUAUAUCACUGUGAUCCUCUUCUGUUGCCAGUUCUGGGGGUCCAGGUGGUUGAGAAUCAGAGCAUUCCAUCUCAUUUCCCUUUGGAGUUGCUGUUGGCCCAGAACCCUUCUACUCUGCACUGGGAGCUGUGGUACAUUGCCCUGGAAGACUCCCCUGCACUGGCAACUGUUGCACAUCAACCCGGAAGCCUGCUCUGUGGUGGGAGCUGUCUCAUGUAGACCUAGAAGCCUCCUCUAUGCCGGGAGUGGUGGUAAGUUGGCCCAGAAGCCUCCUACUCUACACUGGGAGCUGUGGCACAUCAACCUGGAAGUCUUCUCUGCACUGAGAGCUGUAGCAUGUCGACCUGGAACCCUUCUCUGUGCUGGGAGCUGUAGCACAUCGACCCGGAAGCCUCCUCCAUGCUGGGAACACUGGUAUGUUGGCCCAGAAGCCUCCUACUCUGCACUGGGAGCUGUGGCAUGUUGCUCCAGAAGAUUUCUCUGUGCUGGGAGCUGUAGUAUGUUGACCCAGAACCCUCCUCUGCGCUGGGAGCAGUGGUAGGUUGACCCAGAAGCCUCCUACUCUGCACUGGAAGCUGUAGUACAUUGACCUGGAAGCCUCUUCUGCACUGGGAGCUGUAGCAGAGUUUGAUUGAGUUCUAGUAUUUUGUUGUUUAUUUUUUGUCUAGUUGAUCUAUUUGUGAGAAUGGGGUAUUAAGGUUUCCCCACUACUAUUGUAUUAGUGCUUAUAUGAUUUUUCAUAUCCAUUAGUAUUUGUUUUCUAUAGCUGGGCACACUAGUGUUUGGUGCAUAUAUAUUAAUGAUUGUCAUCUCUUCCUCUUGGAUUGUUCCCUUUACAAGGGUGUAGUGUACUUCUUUGUCUCUCUUAAUCAGUUAUGGUUUGAAAUCCACUUGAUCUGCCAAGAGGAUAGCUAGUCCUGCUUUUUUUUUGGUUCCUGUCACAUGGAGUAUUGUUUUCCACCCUUUAACUUUUAGUGUAUAAGUUUCUUUUUGAAUUAAGUGUGUUUCUUGUAUGCAGCAUAUCAUUGGAUCUUGCUUCUUGACCCAUUCUGUCAGUCUAUUUCUUUUGAUUGGUCAAUUGAGACCAUUAACAUUGAUGGUUAUAAUUGCUUUGUAUUGACUUAUCCUUGUCAUGAC
Molecule: long non-coding RNA, 1549 nt
Filed under: Heterocephalus glaber (naked mole-rat)
Lineage: Eukaryota; Metazoa; Chordata; Mammalia; Rodentia; Bathyergidae
Description: lncRNA (ENSHGLG00100035732.1)
Source: RNAcentral